UGGGGAAUAUUGCACAAUGGGCGCAAGCCUGAUGCAGCCAUGCCGCGUGUAUGAAGAAGGCCUUCGGGUUGUAAAGUUCUUUCAGUCGGGAGGAAGGUGGUAAGGUUAAUAACCUUAUCAAUUGACGUUACCGACAGAAGAAGCACCGGCUAACUCCGUGCCAGCAGCCGCGGUAAUACGGAGGGUGCAAGCGUUAAUCGGAAUUACUGGGCGUAAAGCGCACGCAGGCGGUUGAUUGAGUCAGAUGUGAAAUCCCCGGGCUUAACCCGGGAAUUGCAUCUGAUACUGGUCAGCUAGAGUCUUGUAGAGGGGGGUAGAAUUCCAUGUGUAGCGGUGAAAUGCGUAGAGAUGUGGAGGAAUACCGGUGGCGAAGGCGGCCCCCUGGACAAAGACUGACGCUCAGGUGCGAAAGCGUGGGGAGCAAACAGG
RNAcentral lists this ribosomal RNA (429 nucleotides) under Chloroflexota bacterium. Its description in RNAcentral is "Chloroflexi bacterium partial 16S ribosomal RNA". It matches the Rfam family "Bacterial small subunit ribosomal RNA", at positions 355 to 776 of the family's 1533-position model. Lineage: Bacteria; Bacillati; Chloroflexota. The record is from RNAcentral.